RNAcentral lists this long non-coding RNA (436 nucleotides) under Nicotiana tabacum (common tobacco). Its description in RNAcentral is "long non-coding RNA (NTAB_LNC010160)". Lineage: Eukaryota; Viridiplantae; Streptophyta; Magnoliopsida; Solanales; Solanaceae. The record is from RNAcentral.
CUAAUGCUGACUUAAAGGAAAAGUUCAGUUUAGGGUUUAGAACCCUAAUGCUGACUAAAGGGAAAAAUUCAGCUUAGGGUUUAAAACCCUAAUGCUGACUGAAGGAAAAAGUUCAGUUUAGGGUUUAAAACCCUAAUGCUGACUGAAGGAAAAAGUUCAGUUUAGGGUUUAAAACCCUAAUGCUGACUGAAUGGAAAAGUUCAGUUUAGGGUUUAAAACCCUAAUGCUGACUGAAGGAAAAAGUUCAGUUUAGGGUUUAAAACCCUAAUGCUGACUAAUGGAAAAAGUUCAGUUUAGUGUUUAAAAACCCUAAUGCUGACUAAAGAAAAAAGUUCAGUUUAGGGUUUAAAACCCUAAUGCUGACUGAAAGGAAAAGUUCAGUUUAGGGUUUAAAACCCCUAAUGCUGACUAAAAGAAAAGUUCGGUUUAGGGAUUU